GGAGCAACGCCGCGUGAGUGAUGAAGGUUUUCGGAUCGUAAAGCUCUGUUGUUAGGGAAGAACAAGUGCCGUUCAAAUAGGGCGGCACCUUGACGGUACCUAACCAGAAAGCCACGGCUAACUACGUGCCAGCAGCCGCGGUAAUACGUAUGUGGCAAGCGUUGUCCGGAAUUAUUGGGCGUAAAGGGCUCGCAGGCGGUUUCUUAAGUCUGAUGUGAAAGCCCCCGGCUCAGCCGGGGAGGGUCAUUGGAAACUGGGGAACUUGAGUGCAGAAAAGGACAGUGGAAUUCCACGUGUAUCGGUGAAAUGCGUAUAGAUGUGGAGGAACACCAGUGGCAAACGCGACUCUCUGGUCUGUAACUGACGCUGAGGAGC
Molecule: ribosomal RNA, 375 nt
Filed under: Bacillus subtilis
Lineage: Bacteria; Bacillati; Bacillota; Bacilli; Caryophanales; Bacillaceae
Description: bacterial SSU rRNA
Rfam family: Bacterial small subunit ribosomal RNA
Source: RNAcentral